ACAUCGGUAGUAUACAAGUACAGUUGCCUUCCAAGCAAAAAGCCCACCUUGGCCGAUGUAA
This 61-nucleotide transfer RNA is filed under the name Lamprotula caveata. RNAcentral's name for it is "tRNA-Gly". Lineage: Eukaryota; Metazoa; Mollusca; Bivalvia; Unionida; Unionidae. The record is from RNAcentral.